RNAcentral lists this long non-coding RNA (843 nucleotides) under Gallus gallus (chicken). Its description in RNAcentral is "long non-coding RNA NONGGAT003392". The record is from RNAcentral. Lineage: Eukaryota; Metazoa; Chordata; Aves; Galliformes; Phasianidae.
GUGUGAUAGGGCUUCCCCGUGGUGGGAACUCCAGGCCUUUUGCUCUAGGCUGAAGAUGUGAAGCAUGCCACUAGAAAGCUCAAAACUGAUGUAAUUCAGGCCUGGAGCAUCUUGUGAGAGUGGCUGCGCUGAAUUCCUUCCUACCAGGAUUUCUCUAAAGCACUCAGGAAUCCCAGAACUGCAGUGGUUGGAAGGGACUUCUGAAGAUCAUAGAGUCCAACCUCCUGUUCGAGCAGCUUCCAUAAAGCAAGUCACACAGGAAAGCAUCCAGGGCAGACAUACAUCUCCUCUCCCUUCGCUGCAUGGCUCACCAGCUGCGUGCCAAAACUUCCAAGGGAAAUACUCAGAAGAUGAAAACUCCUCAGCAGCAAAGCACCAAUUUCGCGUCAGGCAGUGUGUCAGCAAGAUGAGAGAAAACAACCCUUUAACCUCUUUAAGACCCCAAUGCCUGCUAGGCGUUCAGCUCAGCACUUCAGGCACGGCUUGUGUUUGUGGACACCAAGGUCAUGUUUUUAAAGACAGGCAUUCAAAUGGCACACAAAAAAUAUGCAGGCAGGGGUGCAAAGGGGGUAAUUGCGCGUACGAAACAUGCAGUUGCAAACACCCACCGGGUAAUUGUGUGCUCACAAGCAUUCAGCUGCACCUGCAGUUUCCUGGUUUCCCUUUUAGAACGACGUCUCUGUGCCCAGGCAUGCCUGCUUGGCGUGUUUCAUUUCUGCACUUGAAACCGUGGCCCAAAGCACCGCGUUGCUGUUUAGCACAGGUUUGAGCCGCUGAUUUCAAAGCUGCUCUAAUUAGUAACUUGCAGUUAGUGUACUCUACCAAUUCUCAGCCCACUGGGAU